GUGGGCUGGAGAGACGGCUCAGU
This 23-nucleotide non-coding RNA is filed under the name Cricetulus griseus (Chinese hamster). Lineage: Eukaryota; Metazoa; Chordata; Mammalia; Rodentia; Cricetidae. The record is from RNAcentral.